GUGUUACAAUAAGUAAAUAGAAUGACAAUUAGGACAAAUAGGAUUAAAAAGGAAUCCGGUUUAAAUCCGGAGCGGUCCCGCCACUGUAAAAGGGAGUUUCCUUGUAUAUACACCGGUUGAUGCCGGGAAGGCGCAAGGCAAAUGAUGAUCUUGAGUCAGGAUACUUUUUAUUUCUAUGCCUGCCUG
RNAcentral lists this non-coding RNA (186 nucleotides) under Peptococcaceae bacterium. Lineage: Bacteria; Bacillati; Bacillota; Clostridia; Eubacteriales; Peptococcaceae. The record is from RNAcentral.